AGGCAAGAUGUCGGCAUAGCUGAUUGAUAUAAUAUACGGCUGUGUCACAUCGAGCCAGC
RNAcentral lists this microRNA precursor (59 nucleotides) under Heliconius melpomene (postman butterfly). Its description in RNAcentral is "Hme-Mir-31_pre stem-loop". The record is from RNAcentral. Lineage: Eukaryota; Metazoa; Arthropoda; Insecta; Lepidoptera; Nymphalidae.